Molecule: long non-coding RNA, 3174 nt
Organism: Anguilla rostrata (American eel)
Lineage: Eukaryota; Metazoa; Chordata; Actinopteri; Anguilliformes; Anguillidae
Exons: 2
Source: RefSeq, a predicted model, not a curated record
AUCUGUUCUCAUCAUUGUGUCAUGUUAUGUAAAUGCACGCACACACACACUUGCGCACACACAUGCACAAGCACUCACACAAGAGUGGAUGCAAGCACACGCACAUGCAUGCACACAAGCACGCGCACACUCACGCAAAUGCGCACAUACACACAUAAAAACACAGGUUUGCACACACAAACACACAGAGCUCCAGUACAGGUUGUCUGCAUCGCUGAAGGCUGCCAGUACACGGAUGUGUUUUUCCUGUCGUCUGCCUCCCUGCCUGUUACUCAGCCGCUGGCCCGGUGUCUAACACCUGCUCGGUUAGCUUCGCCCUCCGCGGCCCCCGGCCCCUCCAGUCCAUCAGGGCCCGGCAGGGCUCCCAGCAUGCCACAGACAGAUGGGCUCUUAUUGCAGUCCACCCUGCAAUGAUUCGCACAGACAGGUCACAAAGUGUGAAGGCAAACAGGAAGUGGAAAUUGGUACCUUUCUUUUCAAUACUUGCUAUCUGGUGAGCUGUCUAGUUCACACUGAAGUUGUUUUCUUGUAUUUGAAUCAUGGGCCCACACUGGUUCUGGUGAAUUUAUUCAUUUAUUUUUUCUGCCAUUCUCUUCUGAAAGGGAAAAUUUCCUCUCUUACCCCAGUCCACAUGUACGUGCACGCACGCACACACACACAGCUCUGCACUGUUUGAACACCAGUGGCAGAAAUCAACAGGUCUCCAUCCAUGCAAUAUUCAUAAAGAAGCACAAUGUGAAAUGUCAGUUGGCUAACUUACUGUGUUAUGGCUUAUUUACUGGAGAAAUUCAAAUGGUCAAUAAUGAAUGAAGGUUGAGACCCUAGGAGGAACACACACACACAAGGCAUUCCACCCCACAUUGAUAACUUUAGAUGAGAGUAUUACAGUUGCCCUGAUUUAUGAAAUUUUAAGCUUAUGGUUUUUGAGCAUUGCACUACAUGCGGUUGAGGACAUCGCUGCAUAUUUCCUGGAUAAACAGACCAGACUCCUAACCAUUACCAAAAUGUUUUCCUCAAACGGAAGACGUAAGUAAACCGAUCCUAGAGUGAGGACUAUCACAGCUGAUUUUUGGACCUGGCCGUUCAGCACUGUGAUGAUCCCGGCUGCACUAUACCAGGAAGUGCUUCUGCUGCCCCACAUAACCACUUUUCAGGAGUAUUUUUCAAUAAAUUUUAAUGUUUCAUAUUAGACUGUGGCAGAGGGACUGACAACAAAGAACGGUGACCUUCAGUUUCAGCUAAAUUAUUGAGUUUGUCAUUUAAAAUGACAUUUAAUGACAUUUUUAAUAGACCAUUAUUGCUUUGACACUGUUAAAUUUUGACUGUGCAGGUCCAGGUAGGGAAAUUAUUUGAGAAGGCUGUGACUAGGUGGGGAAGUGGCCUUCAUGUCAGAACCAAUAGGUAGGACCACCAGUUUGUCUCCCCUUGUUUUCUCGCAUGGUACUUUGGUUCUGCCAACUAGAGGUUGCAAUUGCUUUUUUUUUCAAGCUCCUUCUCAAACAAUUAUGCCACUAACACCACCUCAAUAAUCUGAGUUGAUAAAGUAAUUGGCACUAAUUAAGUACAGAUGAUGAUUGACAGCGAUGUUUACAAGUGACACUCACAUGUUAAAUUCAGUUUGAUUGCUUACUACCGUGGACAUGCUGCACUAUUUUAAUGUUCUAAAGGGGCAUGCUAGGUUUUGUAAGAAGCAGUGGGAAAUGCCCACAUUAAAAAAUGAGAGCAGUUAAAUAGCAUUUAACGUGCACAAGACAGUUAAAUAAAUAAAAAAUGAAUUCUUGAUUCAACUAAUUAACUAAUCAUAGUGCUCAAUCAAGACUUUAAGCAGAAUCAGGUGUCCUAGUGCUUGGCUAAAAUGAAGACCUGCCCAGACAAUGGCCGUUUUCAGAUAAUAUAGGGCGUGAGUCUGUUGGUUUUUGUUUUUUCCUUAAGAUCAGCAAGCGAUUCAGUCCCAAGAAACCAGGUGACCUGAAUUAACUGUGUAAUGAACUGAUUUAACGGAUGAGUUGCGGUGCUACUCAAGUGCUGAGUAAAAACAAAAUCCAGCAGACCCUGCGGCACUCCAGGACCAGCCCAUAAGCCAAGCUUACACAGACAUGACUCCAAGGAAGAUGCUUCACGUGUGGACAGCAGGCAAUUGUCGACCAGCGGGGGUCACUAGAGAGCAAUGAGGAUCCCAGCCAACUAAAUCCUGCCUGACCUUGGGUGGCUCCAGCUUCUGUAUUCAAAGAGAAAGCAUCAUAUAAUAACAUCAUUUGACAAUAAUGUAAUUUACUUGGGUAAUAUUGUAUAACCAUAACUCCUAUAUUUAUUAGUUCAUUAUUUAGUGAAAAUGUCCUAUUAGACAGAGGAUAUGUAAUUGACACGCUUCCCCACAUGUUGUCCUACCACCCCUGUCUGUUCUUACCUGUUCAUUUAACACCCCACAGGGACCAUUUAUAAGGGCAUCUGAUCAAAUGUACAUCAUACUGUAUCUCACAGCAUUAUCACCCUCCUGGGACCUUUUCCUAUAUUGUGAUGGAUGUGUUUGUGUGUGUGUGUGUGUGUGUGUGUGUGUGUGUGUGUGUGUUUGUGAGACCUGUGGAGAAAUGCGGGCCUGUGAUCGAUGGCUGGAAGUUUUUCGGUCAAGAAAUUGGAUCAGGCGGAAAGCUCGGAGGUCUUCCUUAAAAGCUGUGCCCUGGCCUGAUGGAGACAGUGGGCUCAGCUCGAGUCAGGCCCCACACCACAGGGUACCUUACUCACGUGGAUGAUUAUGAAAAUAUAUUGGAAUAAAAUGCAUUAUCAAGAUCUUGCAACGCUUCAUAAUAUAUUGUAUAUUAUAUAAUGUAUUCCCUGUGUGUAAGGGCCUGUUUGUUCUCUAACCCUCAUGCUUGAACAGCACUGCUUGACUAGGUCCUGUAUGCUGGGUGGCACAAUGUACAUUAAAUCUGAUAGCAAUUAUGGUAUUGGAUCCCAGGGGUCUACCCUUGAUGCAGUACUACACAAUCUCUUGUUUGUUGGUGAGUUGCCAGCUGUAUUUACUGUCUAGCUUGUAGCUAAAUGGUGUGGGCUGAAUAGCCUGUUCUCAUUAUUUGUUCCUAUUUUCUCAUUGAUUAAAAAGCCUGGCACCACUAAAAAGGAGUAUGAAGGAAACACAGCCUGUUUUUUUGGCAGCAAACUUGUGGCAUGGGUAAA